This 497-nucleotide unclassified non-coding RNA is filed under the name Hevea brasiliensis (rubber tree). Lineage: Eukaryota; Viridiplantae; Streptophyta; Magnoliopsida; Malpighiales; Euphorbiaceae. The record is from RNAcentral.
GGUAGAGAUUUGUAUUCCUAAAUAGGGAAGAGUAAUUAGAGGAGAUUUGUGUAUAAAUAUGUACUCUUAUUUCAUGAAUCAAUCAAUCAGCUUUUCUCCCUCAAUUACAUGGUAGCAAAGCUUAAAUUGAAGACAGAAAAUUUUUUUUCCCCUCUACUCUGUUUUUCACCAAUAACUGUAACUCUAGGUCACCAGCCUUGGGUGACAUUCUUGCCUCACUGCCAGUCCUAUGAGGGAGUCGUAUUGCGGAUGGAGUCAGACUGCUGACUGUCCUCCCAGUGAAGACUGGUGGGCGGCAUUGCGAGUGGUCCUCAAGCGCGGUUUCUUCAUUCCUGCACCUUUCCCUUGCACCAGCGAGUGGCAGUGCGUAGGCUACUAUUUCCUUCUCCGGUGACCUCUCCUGGUGUUGCCUCAACAUUCUCAGUGCAGCCUAGUGAGCUGCUGUUGGAUCUUGUGUACCGUAAUCGGUGCUCUAGGUAGCUGCAACUCCUGACUUG